CAGCUUGCUGCUUCGCUGACGAGUGGCGGACGGGUGAGUAAUGUCUGGGAAACUGCCUGAUGGAGGGGGAUAACUACUGGAAACGGUAGCUAAUACCGCAUAACGUCGCAAGACCAAAGAGGGGGACCUUCGGGCCUCUUGCCAUCGGAUGUGCCCAGAUGGGAUUAGCUAGUAGGUGGGGUAACGGCUCACCUAGGCGACGAUCCCUAGCUGGUCUGAGAGGAUGACCAGCCACACUGGAACUGAGACACGGUCCAGACUCCUACGGGAGGCAGCAGUGGGGAAUAUUGCACAAUGGGCGCAAGCCUGAUGCAGCCAUGCCGCGUGUAUGAAGAAGGCCUUCGGGUUGUAAAGUACUUUCAGCGGGGAGGAAGGGAGUAAAGUUAAUACCUUUGCUCAUUGACGUUACCCGCAGAAGAAGCACCGGCUAACUCCGUGCCAGCAGCCGCGGUAAUACGGAGGGUGCAAGCGUUAAUCGGAAUUACUGGGCGUAAAGCGCACGCAGGCGGUUUGUUAAGUCAGAUGUGAAAUCCCCGGGCUCAACCUGGGAACUGCAUCUGAUACUGGCAAGCUUGAGUCUCGUAGAGGGGGGGUAGAAUUCCAGGUGUAGCGGUGAAAUGCGUAGAGAUCUGGAGGAAUACCGGUGGCGAAGGCGGCCCCCUGGACGAAGACUGACGCUCAGGUGCGAAAGCGU
This 694-nucleotide ribosomal RNA is filed under the name Escherichia coli. RNAcentral's name for it is "bacterial SSU rRNA". It matches the Rfam family "Bacterial small subunit ribosomal RNA", at positions 76 to 762 of the family's 1533-position model. The record is from RNAcentral. Lineage: Bacteria; Pseudomonadati; Pseudomonadota; Gammaproteobacteria; Enterobacterales; Enterobacteriaceae.